GAAAAAAUCAAAGAGCCUAUUUCCUGCAAGGUCAUCUUGGUUUGUUUUGCUUUGUUUUUCCAGCAUAUAUACAACUGAAUCAUACUGCAGCAAGGAGUUACACUCGUGUUACUCUGGGAUGUAAACUGAAGCAAGCAGAGCUCAGAAGUCUUGGGAUUGAGCAGAGUUUUCUUCCUUUUAGCUGAGUUUCUGUCUGCAUACAGGAACCUGUGCUGAUGAAUUCUAUUGGGUAGAAUAAAGAAAAAGAAAAGGGAAUUAAAUGGGAAGAGACAACCUGGCCUGGUGAAUAAAGCAACAGACUUGAGGGGAUCUGGAGACCUAGAUACUAUUCCCAGCUCUUCCCUGCAGUGUGAAUUUAGAUCCAAAACUUGUUCUGCCAGUUCAACCAACAGCAUAGGAAGGUAUUACCUAGGAUUUAGGAGUAUUAUCCUUUCUCUCCGAGAAUGCAGGGAUUUUUUGGCUUUCUUCCUUCAGAGCUAAUAAACUACUUUGCAUGAUGGUAAGAAAAAAAAAAAAAAAAAGUGAGAGAGAAACCUUUUCUGAUGCAUUCUUCUCUCUUGAAUGGUUUAUGUGUAGUGCUGUGUUCAUUCCCUUCAUGGUGGUGAUUGCUCAGGAAAUUUGAGUAAGUAAUUGUGCCUAAGUAUUUACAUUCCAAUAUUUUAUUAAAUAACCAGUUAGUAUUAUCACACAGUACAAUAAAAGCCAACUAUCAGAUGUCCUUCA
RNAcentral lists this long non-coding RNA (723 nucleotides) under Phasianus colchicus (ring-necked pheasant). Its description in RNAcentral is "lncRNA (ENSPCLG00000012905.1)". Lineage: Eukaryota; Metazoa; Chordata; Aves; Galliformes; Phasianidae. The record is from RNAcentral.